CUUUACACAUGCAAGUCGAGCGGCAGCGCGGGGCAACCUGGCGGCGAGCGGCGAACGGGUGAGUAAUGCAUCGGAACGUACCUAUGAGUGGGGGAUAACUAUCCGAAAGGAUGGCUAAUACCGCAUACGCCCUGAGGGGGAAAGGGGGGGAUCGCAAGACCUCUCGCUGAUAGAGCGGCCGAUGUUCGAUUAGCUAGUUGGUGAGGUAAAGGCUCACCAAGGCGACGAUCGAUAGCUGGUCUGAGAGGACGACCAGCCACACUGGAACUGAGACACGGUCCAGACUCCUACGGGAGGCAGCAGUGGGGAAUUUUGGACAAUGGGGGCAACCCUGAUCCAGCCAUUCCGCGUGAGUGAAGAAGGCCUUCGGGUUGUAAAGCUCUUUCGGCAGGAACGAAACGGUGGCGACUAAUACUCGUUACUAAUGACGGUACCUGAAGAAGAAGCACCGGCUAACUACGUGCCAGCAGCCGCGGUAAUACGUAGGGUGCGAGCGUUAAUCGGAAUUACUG
RNAcentral lists this ribosomal RNA (512 nucleotides) under uncultured bacterium. RNAcentral's name for it is "bacterial SSU rRNA". It matches the Rfam family "Bacterial small subunit ribosomal RNA", at positions 47 to 556 of the family's 1533-position model. The record is from RNAcentral.